RNAcentral lists this ribosomal RNA (403 nucleotides) under uncultured bacterium. Its description in RNAcentral is "partial 16S ribosomal RNA". It matches the Rfam family "Bacterial small subunit ribosomal RNA", at positions 28 to 526 of the family's 1533-position model. The record is from RNAcentral.
GACGAACGCUGGCGGCGUGCCUAAUACAUGCAAGUCGAACGCAGUGGGGACGGGUGAGUAACACGUGGGUAACCUCCCAUCAGAGGGGAUAACACUUGGAAACAGGUGCUAAACCGAUACUGAUGGAUGGACCCGCGGUGCAUUAGCUAGUUGGUGAGGUAACGGCUCACCAAGGCCACGAUGCAUAGACGGCCCGAGAGGUGGACAGGCCACAAGGGAACUUGGACACGGUCCAGACUCCAACGGGUGGCAGCGGUAGGGAAUGUUCGGCAAUGGGCGAAAGCCGGAUCGAGCAACGCCGCGUGAGUGAAGAAGGUUUUCGGAUCGUAAAGCACUGUUGUUGGCGAAGCGGUAUCUGACGAGAAAGCAACGGCUACCUACGUGCCAGCCGCCGCGGUAAUUC